GAGGCUAGAUCACAGGUCACUACUCUGACUAACAGGUGGAGGCUAGAUCACAGGUCACUACUCUGACUAACAGGUGGAGGCUAGAUCACAGGUCACUACUCUGACUAACAGGCUAGAUC
Long non-coding RNA from Coregonus clupeaformis (lake whitefish), 119 nucleotides. RefSeq lists it as uncharacterized. The transcript has 3 exons. NCBI's taxonomy places the organism in Eukaryota, Metazoa, Chordata, Actinopteri, Salmoniformes, Salmonidae. The record is from RefSeq and is a predicted model, not a curated record.